RNAcentral lists this ribosomal RNA (247 nucleotides) under uncultured bacterium. RNAcentral describes it as "partial 16S ribosomal RNA". It matches the Rfam family "Bacterial small subunit ribosomal RNA", at positions 530 to 776 of the family's 1533-position model. The record is from RNAcentral.
GGGCGCGAGCGUUGUCCGGAUUUAUUGGGCGUAAAGAGCUCGUAGGCGGCUUGUCGCGUCGACUGUGAAAACCCACGGCUUAACUGUGGGCUUGCAGUCGAUACGGGCAGGCUAGAGUUCGGUAGGGGAGACUGGAAUUCCUGGUGUAGCGGUGAAAUGCGCAGAUAUCAGGAGGAACACCGGUGGCGAAGGCGGGUCUCUGGGCCGAUACUGACGCUGAGGAGCGAAAGCGUGGGGAGCGAACAGG